UAGGAGAUGCCUUGUCUCUCUGGUCAGGU
Molecule: non-coding RNA, 29 nt
Filed under: Macaca fascicularis (crab-eating macaque)
Lineage: Eukaryota; Metazoa; Chordata; Mammalia; Primates; Cercopithecidae
Also listed under: 1 other name
Source: RNAcentral